CUGGCAUCUAUUAAAAAAUGUAAUGUUUACUUUUUUUGAAAAAGUACUGUAGAAAGCGAUAACAGAAAUUCUAAAGAAAACCCCUGGUUAUACCCAAAUGUUCCCUUCCCCCUCCAGUCUUGGAACAUAUUACUCAAGUUGUUUUCCUCUUUUUUAUAAUUUUUGUAUGCAUUUUCAGCCUCCUGAUUGGAAAAGAAACUGAAUACUCUCAUGAAAUGAUGAAAAAAAAUGGAGCUUUAAUGUUUCAACUUCAAAGAAUGAGGAAACAAUGGAAAAGGGCAAACUUAACUAGAGUGCUGUACUUUGGUGAGAUC
RNAcentral lists this long non-coding RNA (314 nucleotides) under Numida meleagris (helmeted guineafowl). RNAcentral describes it as "lncRNA (ENSNMEG00000010693.1)". The record is from RNAcentral. Lineage: Eukaryota; Metazoa; Chordata; Aves; Galliformes; Numididae.